UAAUACAGAGGGUGCAAGCGUUAAUCGGAAUUACUGGGCGUAAAGCGUGCGUAGACGGUUAUGUAAGUCGGGUGUGAAAGCCCCGGGCUCAACCUGGGAAUUGCAUUCGAGACUGCAUAGCUAGGGUUCGGAAGAGGGAAGCGGAAUUUCCGGUGUAGCGGUGAAAUGCGUAGAUAUCGGAAGGAACACCAGUGGCGAAAGCGGCUUCCUGGUCCAGAACCGACGUUCAGGCACGAAAGCGUGGGGAGCAAACAGGAUUAGAUACCCUGGUAGUCCACGCCAUAAACGAUGACAACUAGACGUUGAGAGGGUAAGCCUCCCAGUGUCGAAGCUAACGCGAUAAGUUGUCCGCCUGGGGAGUACGGCCGCAAGGUUG
RNAcentral lists this ribosomal RNA (376 nucleotides) under uncultured bacterium. Its description in RNAcentral is "bacterial SSU rRNA". It matches the Rfam family "Bacterial small subunit ribosomal RNA", at positions 521 to 896 of the family's 1533-position model. The record is from RNAcentral.